UAGAGUUUGAUCCUGGCUCAGGAUGAACGCUAGCGGCAGGCUUAACACAUGCAAGUCGAGGGGCAGCGCGAGAGUAGCAAUACUUUUGGCGGCGACCGGCGCAAGGGUGCGUAACGCGUGAGUAACAUGCCCGUAUCAGGGGGAUAAGCGAUGGAAACGUCGUCUAAUACCGCAUAACAACAGAAGUGGCAUCACUUCAGUUUGAAAAUUACGAUGGAUACGGAUUGGCUCGCGAGACAUUAGUUAGUUGGCGGGGUAACGGCCCACCUAGCCCACGAUCAGUAGGGGUUCUGAGAGGAAGGUCCCCCACAUUGGAACUGAGACACGGUCCAAACUCCUACGGGAGGCAGCAGUGAGGAAUAUUGGUCAAUGGACGGAAGUCUGAACCAGCCAAGUAGCGUGCAGGAUGACGGCCCUAUGGGUUGUAAACUGCUUUUAUGUGGGAAUAAAGUUCGGGACGUGUCCCGUUUUGCAUGUACCACAUGAAUAAGGACCGGCUAAUUCCGUGCCAGCAGCCGCGGUAAUACGGAAGGUCCGGGCGUUAUCCGGAUUUAUUGGGUUUAAAGGGAGCGUAGGCGGCCUUUUAAGCGUGUUGUGAAAUGUCCUGGCUCAACCAGGGCACUGCAGCGCGAACUGGAGGGCUUGAGUGCGCAGGAAGUAGGCGGAAUUCGUCGUGUAGCGGUGAAAUGCUUAGAUAUGACGAAGAACUCCGAUUGCGAAGGCAGCUUACUGUAGCGUAACUGACGCUGAUGCUCGAAAGUGCGGGUAUCGAACAGGAUUAGAUACCCUGGUAGUCCGCACGGUAAACGAUGGAUGCUCGCUGUGUGCCUCCGGGUAGGCGGCUAAGGGGUAACCAUUAAGCAUCCCACCUGGGGAGUACGCCGGCAACGGUGAAACUCAAAGGAAUUGACGGGGGCCCGCACAAGCGGAGGAACAUGUGGUUUAAUUCGAUGAUACGCGAGGAACCUUACCCGGGCUUGAACUGCAGGUGAACGAUUCAGAGAUGAUGAGGUCCUUCGGGACACCUGUGGAGGUGCUGCAUGGUUGUCGUCAGCUCGUGCCGUGAGGUGUCGGCUUAAGUGCCAUAACGAGCGCAACCCCUGUCCUUAGUUGCCAUCACUUCGGGUGGGCACUCUGGGGAUACUGCCACCGUAAGGUGCGAGGAAGGUGGGGAUGACGUCAAAUCAGCACGGCCCUUACGUCCGGGGCUACACACGUGUUACAAUGGCGUGUACAGAGAGUCGGUCGUAUGCAAAUACGGUCUAAUCAACAAAACACGUCUCAGUUCGGAUUGGGGUCUGCAACCCGACCCCAUGAAGCUGGAUUCGCUAGUAAUCGCGCAUCAGCCAUGGCGCGGUGAAUACGUUCCCGGGCCUUGCACUCACCGCCCGUCA
Molecule: ribosomal RNA, 1394 nt
Filed under: uncultured bacterium
Lineage: Bacteria
Description: 16S ribosomal RNA
Rfam family: Bacterial small subunit ribosomal RNA
Source: RNAcentral